RNAcentral lists this long non-coding RNA (2024 nucleotides) under Homo sapiens (human). Its description in RNAcentral is "HSALNT0093051". Lineage: Eukaryota; Metazoa; Chordata; Mammalia; Primates; Hominidae. The record is from RNAcentral.
CUGGCGGCAAGGUGCUCUACAAGGCCUGGCAAUAAGGAAGGGUCCAGUUACUCGCAUCCAGUGGUCUAGAGCAUGUUUGAUUAGGCAACUUUUAGCAGUCGUCCUCAGCUGUGCAUAUUAAAAUGGCUCCUUAAUUCAUGUAUAAUAUCUAGGUGAAUGUGAUCCCUAGACCUUUAACACCUGGCUCUGAGUCCUGCCCGCACCUUCCAGGCACCACUCACUCCAAUGGCUCCACUCCUGGGCUCCUUGAUACAGACAAGGGCUCUGAUUGGAAACCCUCUGACUCCUCCGUGCUUCUUGGCCUUUGACAAGUUUAUCACAGAUGGGAGAAGGACAUUCUGUUUCUUCAGUGUUAUGGGCUGACUCACUUCCCUCUUCUCUGCAAUAAGCACAAAGGCCAAAGUCAGUCCACUCUACCAAGAAACAGCAAAAUGGCUCUGAGAGUGGUGUCCUUCCGGAUUGGUGUUUCUCAGCAAGUUGGCUGUUUCUAACUUGGGUUGUCCCCUCAUGGUUGCAAGAUGACUGCCACUACUCCAGAUAUGAUAUCUUCUAACACCCUCCCACAGUGGAAGAAGGAAGAGAGCACUCUUUUCUUUUUAAGACAAAAGAAAAUUUUUCUGGAAACCACCAUGCACCAGCAGACUUUCCCUCAUAUCUCAUUAACCAGAAUUCCUAUACAUGCUGAUGCCUGAACCUAUCACUGGCCUCUGAAGAGAUGAACAAAAUCAUGCCUCUGUGAGCAAGCAAGAAGGUGGUUGUGGUGGUUGAGAAGGCAACUGACAUCAACCACCUCCAUAAUGGUGAUGAAAACUAUGGGCUCUUAGAGGACAGAGUUCUGGGAGGGAAGAGAGCCACAUCUGGGACAGAGGUGAAGAGGACACUACAGUCAUUUAAUGGAGCUCCUAAGAGAAGAGUCUUUUGAGUCACAAAAUUUGGAGUCACAAACUGAACUCUUGGCUCUGCCAUUUCCUAACUGUGCAAACAAGUUAUUUACCCUCUAUGCCUUUGUUUCCACAGCUAUCGAAGGCCAACAUCUAAUGGAAGCUUGAAAAUAAAAUUAAGCCACACAGAGUAUGUGAUUAAUAAGUGAAACUAUCAUUAGUACUUCUGGCUGAGCAACAGGCACAGGCAUCAGAUUGGUUGUUAUACCAACAGUCAUUGAAAUUAUUGAAUACAAACAUUAAGUCUAGAUGCAGUGCUUCAAUAGACUCUUUCUUCUCCAGGAUGAGAAAGCUUGCUCAGAAUGAAGAGACAAGAAGUGGUUGUGGAGACAAACAGGAUUCAAAAUCAGAUCCCACUGCUACCAUUUAGGGAAAGUUAUUGGGAAAGUUACUGAAUCUUGGGAAAGUUAUUGAACUGCCUUGUGCUCAGUUUUCUCAUCUGCAACAGAGAGUAACAGCUCAUUAAGUUAUGAAGAUUAAACAAGUUAAUACAAAUGCACGUGUAAACUGUGAAUAAGGGCAGCCAUUGUUAGCAUGUUUACUGUUUUCAUAUAAAGAUGCAGUUACUCUAUUCUGUCUUUUAUUUACUUUGCUAAUUGUCACUACAAGAGGAGCAGUGAAAAAUCUGGCUUCAAUUCUUGUUCUUUCUCUUAGGAGCCACAUGGCCUCCGAGUAUCAGGUACUCCUUCAGUAAAAAGAUUGGCCCACUUUUCUCUCCAGAGAUGAGAGGUUCCAAAUAAAAUGUUUUGAAGACUGAAACUCAACAUAUGAUGUCUCAUUAUUUAUACGUAUUAUCUCCUGCGAUUCCAAUUUUUGUCUCAUUCUUUCUUAUCACCUACGCUUUUCUUUGGCUUCCUGCCUGGAACUUUUUCCUAUACUAUUUCACUACUUACCAUAAUCUCCAAUAUCUCUACUUUCUCUUCUAUCCAAAUCUUUAUGCAUCAUUACUUACAAUCUCUUAAAUGUGCCUUAAACUUUUCUUAUAGGAUAGUGGUGUGUAUAUACAUACAUUUAAAUUUAUUUUAAAUUUAAUCUCUCCUUCUCAGCCCCACAGAGACUGGUAUUAAAUUAGCAUAUGUAAAA